GUGAAAAUUAAGAAGAGUGUAAACAAUUUUGCAUGUAAACAAUGUGGUGUGAAAAUUAAGAAGAGUAACAAUGUGAAGUGUAAACAAUGAGGUGUGUAACUGAUGUGGUGU
Molecule: long non-coding RNA, 111 nt
Organism: Thalassophryne amazonica
Lineage: Eukaryota; Metazoa; Chordata; Actinopteri; Batrachoidiformes; Batrachoididae
Exons: 2
Source: RefSeq, a predicted model, not a curated record